Fopius arisanus is the source of this 125-nucleotide long non-coding RNA. RefSeq lists it as uncharacterized. The transcript has 2 exons. The record is from RefSeq and is a predicted model, not a curated record. NCBI's taxonomy places the organism in Eukaryota, Metazoa, Arthropoda, Insecta, Hymenoptera, Braconidae.
AAAAACAUAUUACGUUAGUAAAAGAAUAGUGUGGCAAAACGAAAAAGCUGUUAUCGUAUAAAAAAAUCUCGGAGAAUAUUAAGAAAAUAUUGAAGAAGCAGAUAUGAAGGAAACAAACCAACAAA